Hydra vulgaris (swiftwater hydra) is the source of this 151-nucleotide non-coding RNA. NCBI's taxonomy places the organism in Eukaryota, Metazoa, Cnidaria, Hydrozoa, Anthoathecata, Hydridae. The record is from RefSeq and is a predicted model, not a curated record.
UUCAGAGUAUUUUCGAAAAGUUAUAUGGCCUCGAUGGAUAUGAAGGGCAAAGAGCUUCUUAUAAUGUAUUCAAUGGACCGAAAGACCCUCGGUUAAUAGAAUAUUGUUUGACUUUCUAAAUUACGCUUUAUUUCAAAAAUGUGGUGGAAAA